This 207-nucleotide long non-coding RNA is filed under the name Dasypus novemcinctus (nine-banded armadillo). RNAcentral describes it as "lncRNA (ENSDNOG00000051404.1)". The record is from RNAcentral. Lineage: Eukaryota; Metazoa; Chordata; Mammalia; Cingulata; Dasypodidae.
GGAAAAAACCAGGAAGGACACUCCCCACAGGUUCCAGAAGCAGAUCUCUGCCAACAGCUUAAGUUCAGACUUCUAGCCUCCAGAACAAUGAGAAUGAAUUUCUUUUGUGCCUGAGGAGGCUGCUGUUUAUUAGUUUGAAAGAAUCUUGUUUGACCUGUAAGAAAAACUGCCAUGAGACCACAGUUAGGACAAGGAACUGAAGAAUGG